CCUGACGCUACACAUCAUCGAGGCAGCCCUGAGUGGAGGUAAUCCUAUCUGAGGACCGACUGGGAUCAUGUCUGUAAGGAGGGCAAGCUUCUGUGAGGUGCCUGAGCUGGGUCACAAAGGAAAAAACCCACGUGCAGGAAGAGCAGCAAACUGAGGAAGAAGGAAGUUCAAAGCAAUUUGCCUACGAUUCCAUUUCUAGGACGCGGUAGAGGUAAUCUUCUAGCUCUCUGCAAAGCUGGAGGCGUGAGCGCUGAACAGCCACUUUGUAUCAUGUUCUACAGGUGGGUGGAAUCCGGAUCCUAGGUCCCUCACCCCCACAGAGAAAGACUGCUUGUGUGUAGAGCAGACUCCCUCAGACUGGCGACUCCAGGUAGGAGACUAAGUGGCCAUCUACCUCACGCCCAGCUCCAGGGAUGGGCUCGAUGACUAAGAGUAAUCCUGCUCUCUCUGCCGGUGAUUGGUUCCGGGAUACUCCCAAUUCUUUCCAAGGAAACAUGAGAAGUCCUCUGGAAUCUUGUCCUAUCUGGAGAGGAUGCUCGGAACUACUGCCACCAUCUUGUCACCAGCUUGAGAAAGAAUCCAACUGAUGAUGGCACAGCAGAGAGAAAGAGAGAAACUCUUCCUGGAUGCCAUUGUUGAAUGGCUAAUUCAACCAGCUUUGGGCCCGCCCUGCCCCUGGCAUUCCUGAUAUGUGAGAUAAUCAAUUCCCUAUUGUUUAAACCAGCUUGAGUCAGGGGUUUUUUUCUGCCACCAAAAGCAUCCUGACUAAUACAGAACUCAAAGCAGACUCUCCUCCCCCUCCUCCUCCACCCAGCAGCUGAACUGAAUGCCACUGAGAAUUGCCAACAACCCAUUCCAGAGGCUGCACACAGGAGGAGGAGGGAUUUGGGGGGCGGGGGGGUGGUGAUGGAAUAUAAGAGCUUUAAAGGACUGAGGAGUUGCGGGGCAUGGGGACAAAGAAAAAAGGAGCAAGGGAAAGGACCCCUCUGUGCCAUCAGAGUGGGGUAGAAACAUGGUAGAAACAUGUGCUCAGGAGUCUAUGACUAAGGUUCCAUACCCAUGGGCAAGGUGAAUACACUAAAGCUACCCCUACUAAAUCUCCACUCAAAACGUGUUGGACCAUAAUGUUGGAGCCCAGAGCAAAGAGCUGACCGAACACUCUCCAUGGAUUUAUAUGGUCCUUCCCUGGCAACCAUUAACCAUCCUUUGGGAGGCCAAAUUAGCCUUUCUUCCAUAAAAUACAGUGUACUGCUGGAAUUAGAGAUUGUUGGCCCCAGUAGUCUUAAAAGGCUAACAAAUCUGAACCCUCUUAUUUUGUGAAAGGGCCUCCAAGGCCUGGGACGGGAAGUGAUUUCCCUGAGGCAGUGCCAAGGGAGUUUGUGGGAAGAGAUGACACUGAAAUGCAGGUCUCCUAUCUCCCAAACUGGACCCCAGACACCACCAUUCCCCUGAGUGCGUACCAAGAAACUGUCAAUAGAUUUUAACAGCCAGAACAAUUUUGGAUGAUCAAGUAAACUCAGAAAGUGUUGCAUUAAAUAAAUCAUAUUAAAGAUUUUUCAA
Molecule: long non-coding RNA, 1560 nt
Organism: Neomonachus schauinslandi (Hawaiian monk seal)
Lineage: Eukaryota; Metazoa; Chordata; Mammalia; Carnivora; Phocidae
Exons: 5
Source: RefSeq, a predicted model, not a curated record